Non-coding RNA from Ixodes scapularis (black-legged tick), 934 nucleotides. NCBI's taxonomy places the organism in Eukaryota, Metazoa, Arthropoda, Arachnida, Ixodida, Ixodidae. The record is from Rfam.
CAUUUUUGUUUUCCUUUCAAGGCGAAACUGCCGGAGCAAAACUCGCAAUGACUCCUUAGCAAGCAAUUUGUCAACCGCCUCUCGUCUGUAUAUUGGUUAUAAUUACGGCGUAAAAAAUAAACAUGGAAAUUGAAAAAUCCAAAAGCAGGGCGACGGUGCGCUUAAGCCCGAGGACGCGGGUGCAGUUAUCUGCCGCGGCAGGAAGAAGUCAAGGGCAAUCUGAAAAAAGCUCCCAUGAAGGGCAGGCGAUGUAGGUUCACGAAAUUGAGACGAUUUAUCGCUUACUACUAGGAAAAAAUUGCAGCUAAAUAAGAGCAGGGCGGCCAAAAGCAGCGAGCAUCUGCAUGCCGAGACCAGACGAAAUUGGCAGCGGUUUGCGGCAUGCGUGGCGGCUCAAUGCCCUCCCAGCGGCAGUGGCGCCUGCAGUGGCGCGGGCUGUCCCUAUAUAAAACGGGCGCCGAAGAAAAGCACCGAAGGACUCUGCUUCCGAUAAUGAACGAGUCUCUAGCCUAUUAAAUAAGUGCGUGGUUUUCUGCACCUUGCACUCUUCUUAGCGGGACAAGCGGCUCGUAGCCGCACGAAUCAGAGCAAUAACAGGUCUGCGAUGCCCUUAGAUGUCCGGGGCCGCACGCACGCUACACUGAUGAAAGCAGUGUGUUUUUAUCCCUGUUUGUAAAGAGGGGGUAACCCGUGGAACCUUCUUCGUGAUUGAGGUAGGGGCUUGCAGCUGUUCCCCUUGAACGAGGAAUUCCCACUAAGCGCGAGUCAUAAGAUCCCGUUGAUUACGUCCCUGCCCUCUGUACACACCGCCCGUCGCUACUACCGAUUGAAUGACUUAGUGGGGUCUUCGGACCGAUAACCGCAGGCGUAUUUCCAAAACAUGGCCUUUCCAGAUCUGCCGCGGAGCGGCGUGCUCUGAUUGGCCAGAUUACUA